Molecule: transfer-messenger RNA, 387 nt
Filed under: Candidatus Peribacteria bacterium
Lineage: Bacteria; Candidatus Peregrinibacteriota; Candidatus Peribacteria
Rfam family: transfer-messenger RNA
About the family: Bacterial tmRNA, also known as 10Sa RNA or SsrA, is named for its dual tRNA and mRNA-like properties.
Source: RNAcentral
GGGGGUGCAUUUGGAUUUGAUAGAAGGAAUCCAUACCUAUUGAUAGCCACUGCUGAAUGGUUCUCCAGCAUAAUCACGAACCAAAACCAAAAUGCUAACGCAUGAAAAUCUCUCCUUGCGAGAGCUAAAGCUUUUGUUGCUACGCCAGCUUACUGCUAGUCUAGUGCCGCUUUAGUAUCAACCUUUACGUUUGACUCCUCCUAUGCGUAAAGGCGAAUUAAGGAGGAAAGUAUAGCUGUUGGGAUACAUAAGAAUACUAAGUUUGUUUCUUUCCUUAUUCUUCCCCUUCUCCAUAGCUCUAAAAAUCGGGUUAAAAAAGCAACUAUAGUGGUAGAAGUUGAUACGUAUGCCUUUUAGACUAGGGUUCGACACCCUACACCUCCAGAU